RNAcentral lists this ribosomal RNA (990 nucleotides) under uncultured Alphaproteobacteria bacterium. Its description in RNAcentral is "bacterial SSU rRNA". It matches the Rfam family "Bacterial small subunit ribosomal RNA", at positions 8 to 1019 of the family's 1533-position model. Lineage: Bacteria; Pseudomonadati; Pseudomonadota; Alphaproteobacteria. The record is from RNAcentral.
AGAGUUUGAUCCUGGCUCAGAUUGAACGCUGGCGGCAAGCCUCAUACAUGCAAGUCGAGCGAGAACGUUACUUCGGUAGCUAGUAAGGCGGCGGACGGGUGAGUAACGCGUAGGAAUCUACCUUUCAGCGGGGGAUAGCUCGGGGAAACCCGAAUUAAUACCGCAUACACCCUAAGGGGGAAAGAGGGCCUAUCCUUGGAAGCUCUCGCUGUUAGAUGAGCCUGCGUGAGAUUAGUUUGUUGGUGGGGUAAUGGCCUACCAAGACUACGAUCUCUAGCUGGUCUGAGAGGACGAUCAGCCACACUGGGACUGAGACACGGCCCAGACUCCUACGUGGAGGCAGCAGUAGGGAAUAUUGGACAUGGGGGCAACCUGAUCCAGCAUGCCGCGUGUGUGAAGAAGGCCUUAGGGUUGUAAAGCUCUUUCAGGGGUGAGGAUUAUGACGGUACCUGCAAAGAAGCUCCGGCUAACUCCGUGGCCAGCAGCCGCGGUAAUACGGAGGGGGCAAGCGUUGCUCGGAAUUACUGGGCGUAAAGCGAGCGUAGGCGGUUAAUCAAGUUGGUGGUGAAAGCCCAGAGCUUAACUCUGGAACUGCCAUCAAAACUGAUUGACUAGAGAUUGGUAGAGGAAAAUGGAAUUCCUAGUGUAGAGGUGAAAUUCGUAGAUAUUGGGAAGAACACCAGUGGCGAAGGCGAUUUUCUGGGCCAAUUCUGACGCUGAGGUUCGAAAGCGUGGGUAGCAAACAGGAUUAGAUACCCUGGUAGUCCACGCCGUAAACGAUGAGUGCUAGACGUCGGAAACUAGUUUUCGGUGUCGUAGUUAACGCAUUAAGCACUCCGCCUGGGGAGUACGGUCGCAAGAUUAAAACUCAAAGGAAUUGACGGGGGCCCGCACAAGCGGUGGAGCAUGUGGUUUAAUUCGACGCAACGCGAAGAACCUUACCAGCUUUUGACAUGCUAGGUCGCGGAUUUUAGAGAUAAAAUCCUUCAG